ACCCUUACUGAAUUCAUCUGUUCCUGUAGUCUUCCAGCUUGCAAUAACUAGACUGCUGAUCUAAUUUGUACUGCUGAUCUUCUAGUAUCAGAAGUUCUUUUAAGUAAGAAAUAUCUUUCAGGGCAUCUUGAAUGUUGACAUGUGUACUGUGCAGAAUUUCAGUAACAAAUAACAACAUUUUCAAAUGUUUCAAAUGAAUAAAAAUAAAUUAUAGGUAUACCAAGGAGGAAAUAACAGAGAAUUUGAAUGAAUUUUUUCCUUCCAUCUUUAAUAUCUUUACUGCUGAGAAAUUAGGACUUCAAAACUGGUUUACAUUACUGAGAAAAUAAUUAUUCAGGCAAAUCUGAGUAAUGAAGGAUAAAAUUAUAAGCUGAACUGAUGACUAAAAUAAAUCAAUCUCUGGAUCCAAAUAAAAUGCAUCAAAGAAAAUUUAAAAAUAAAAAUAGGAAAAGGUAUGCAAUUUCUUCUGAAUGUUGACAUAUUUUCUUGAGGACAAAAAAGUACCAUAAUUUUUUAAAAUAUAUUGAAAGUUGUUAAAGGUUAACAUUUGUUUUGGGGAAAAUUCUUGGAAUUAAGCAAAAACAGAGAAGCACGAGCCUUACUAAAAAACAACCAACAUGAAUCUCUCCAUUAAUCUUGUGCUUUUUAAAGGAUGUUCAAAGAGCAUGUAGACAAGGAUAAGCCAAUAAAUAUAUAUUAUACUUACAUUUUCAAAAAGCAUUUAACAAGUCUCUUACCAAAGCUUCCUAAGCAAAUUCACAAAUCCAGCUGUUGUUAAAAAGACAGGGCUGUCAAAGACAGGCAACCAAUUAUAAAAUAAAAACGAGAAUAUGAUUAAAUGGGAAAUUCUUAUGUUGUUGGAAUCCUACAGGAGUCAAUGCUGAGACAAGAGUUUUUGAUCUAGCAAAAUGAUUUGAAGUUAAGAGUUGGUUAGUGCCGACGAUAAAGAUCGGCCGGCUGCGCCAACCGUAAGCCAUAAGAUCAUCUAAGCAAGCAGACCCACUGUGGAAGAUUUGCCUUAAAUAGAUUUGUUAUGACUAAAGAUUGAAUACUUUUCCUCAAAGUUAUUGUGAUAGCAACGCAUUUGAUACAGAGAAUAGAGGAAAGAACAAGAGGAACAACC
Molecule: long non-coding RNA, 1123 nt
Organism: Crotalus tigris (Tiger rattlesnake)
Lineage: Eukaryota; Metazoa; Chordata; Lepidosauria; Squamata; Viperidae
Exons: 3
Source: RefSeq, a predicted model, not a curated record